GUGGCGGCUGCUUACCUGCAAGUCGAACGAUGAAGCCAGCUUGCUGGUGGAUUAGUGGCGAACGGGUGAGUAACACGUGAGUAAUCUGCCCUUCACUUCGGGAUAAGCCUUGGAAACGGGGUCUAAUACCGGAUAGUCACCUCGUGCCGCAUGGUGUGGGGUGGAAAGAUUUAUUGGUGGGGGAUGGGCUCGCGGCCUAUCAGCUUGUUGGUGGGGUAAUGGCCUACCAAGGCGACGACGGGUAGCCGGCCUGAGAGGGCGACCGGCCACACUGGGACUGAGACACGGCCCAGACUCCUACGGGAGGCAGCAGUGGGGAAUAUUGCACAAUGGGCGCAAGCCUGAUGCAGCGACGCCGCGUGAGGGAUGACGGCCUUCGGGUUGUAAACCUCUUUCAGCAGGGAAGAAGCGCAAGUGACGGUACCUGCAGAAGAAGCACCGGCUAACUACGUGCCAGCAGCCGCGGUAAUACGUAGGGUGCAAGCGUUGUCCGGAAUUAUUGGGCGUAAAGAGCUCGUAGGUGGUUUGUCGCGUCUGCUGUGAAAAUCCAACGCUCAACGUUGGACGUGCAGUGGGUACGGGCAGACUAGAGUGCAGUAGGGGAGUCUGGAAUUCCUGGUGUAGCCGGUGAAAUGCGCAGAUAUCAGGAGGAACACCGGUGGCCGAAGGCGGGACUCUGGGCUGUUACUGACGCUGAGGAGCGAAAGCAUGGGGAGCGAACAGGAUUAGAUACCCUGGUAGUCCAUGCCGUAAACGUUGGGCACUAGGUGUGGGCCGCAUUCCACGUGGUCCGUGCCGCAGCUAACGCAUUAAGUGCCCCGCCUGGGGAGUACGGCCGCAAGGCUAAAACUCAAAGGAAUUGACGGGGGCCCGCACAAGCGGCGGAGCAUGCGGAUUAAUUCGAUGCAACGCGAAGAACCUUACCAAGGCUUGACAUAUACCGGUAACGUGCAGAGAUGUACGCCCCUUCGGGUCGGUAUACAGGUGGUGCAUGGUUGUCGUCAGCUCGUGUCGUGAGAUGUUGGGUUAAGUCCCGCAACGAGCGCAACCCUCGUUCUAUGUUGCCAGCGGGUUAUGCCGGGAACUCAUAGGAGACUGCCGGGGUCAACUCGGAGGAAGGUGGGGAUGACGUCAAAUCAUCAUGCCCUUUAUGUCUUGGGCUUCACGCAUGCUACAAUGGCCGGUACAAAGGGUUGCGAUGCCGUGAGGCGGAGCGAAUCCCAGAAAGCCGGUCUCAGUUCGGAUCGUAGUCUGCAACUCGACUACGUGAAGUCGGAGUCGCUAGUAAUCGCAGAUCAGCAACGCUGCGGUGAAUACGUUCCCGGGCCUUGUACACACCGCCCGUCAAGUCACGAAAGUCGGUAACACCCGAAGCCGGUGGCCUAACCCCCUUGUGGGGAGGGAGC
This 1406-nucleotide ribosomal RNA is filed under the name Spelaeicoccus sp. RNAcentral describes it as "bacterial SSU rRNA". It matches the Rfam family "Bacterial small subunit ribosomal RNA". Lineage: Bacteria; Bacillati; Actinomycetota; Actinomycetes; Micrococcales; Brevibacteriaceae. The record is from RNAcentral.